AGCCCUAGCCAAUCUCCUUUCUCCGAGUCCCACUGGAGUAGUGCUGCUUUUGUGGAGCUGAGGUUGCAGCCCCUGUGUAGCUUGUGGAUUCCAAAGGGAUGCUAGAUGCUGGUGGCCAUGGGUUUUAGUCACCUCCCCGUGUCCAGAGUCACUUCUUCCUGGUGGAAGUGACUUGCCUUUUCCCUUUUGAUGACUGCAUAUUUAAUGCUGAGGCUGAUAGAGCCUGACUGUCUCCAUCAUGAAAAGGUUUUUAUGUCAUUAAUAUGCUGAUUUGGUUCAUGAAAUAGAGAGUAAACUGCCAGUGUGGUUCGGUGCUGGGGUGGCUCCUUUUUCUCUUCCUUUUACAAGGAAAAAAAAAAGACUCUAAAUUGUGCUUUACGAAUUAUCUUUCUCCCCUUUUAUAUUUGACUUUGAAAAUCUAUCUUAAAGGAACAACUCUGAAAGUUUCCAUUCCAACAUCUGCCUUUGGAUGUAACCCUUUGAGUGUAUAUAUUCCCCAUGCUAGAUGACUUUAUGGCUUUGGACACCUCUUCCUUUUAGUUGUCAUGAGCAUGCUGUGCCCUGGACUUCCCUCAGGGUCACUUUGGCAUCUAAAGGACAGUGACUGCCCUAGAUGGUGCCUUUUGGUAUCCAAAUGAGUCCUCUGCCUCUGUUGCCUUCCCUCUCUCCCAGCCCCUCCUCCCCCUCCAUUCCUGAAGAAGAGUCUUAAAAUUUAUGUCUUUAUGAUAAAAUUCAAUAAACAUCCAACCACUAGAUUAUGAUGAGUGCUAAGGGGAAGACUCAGAAAACACAUACCCAGUCUCAUUUUGGAGGCCACUUUUCAACAUAAACGGACAGCCCUUGGGGGAAGCCAGCCUCCCACAUGUGAGUGGAAAAGAAACAGAGGUGUUGCCUCCUCUGCGUCAGGACCUCCUCCUCCCUGGGCUACAGUGCAGUCCUGCUCUUGCUUAAUUAAUCCAUUAAGGUCUAUCUUGACCCUACUCGGUAAUGAUCGAGGGGCUCACCGGAGCCAUCUAGAAGGGGGGAAUUAGAUGGAUAAUGAUUUCUGUGCAGAUGAUGUGUUCUGUCUUUUUAUAUAGUUGGUCCCAUGAGGGACAUAUUUCUUCGGUGUAUCCCUGAUGAUGUUCUCAAGACAGAUAUAUUACAGAGGAAUAAAUCAGGCUAUUAGACAUUGCUAGUGUCUAAUUCUUCAUGUGUAAAGUCUGUGUUUUAAAUAUCAAGGCUUUGUAAGAUGUAUUUUUAUUAAUGUAAUGGUAAGUAAGGUAGUAAGCUAAGUUUGAGAAAUUUCAUUUCAGUAUUAUUUUUCCUGCACUCAGGUGCUCUUAUGGAAUAUUUAUGUUCCCCGCCUUGUCCUGAUUGCUCCCUCCUACAUCAGUCAGUAAACUGUUUAAGAGGGUUCCUCCUCAAUCCAACUCAACAAGUGUUUACUGAUACCUGAAGUGGGCAUAACAGUUGACAAUUCUAAAAAAUCAGGAGGCUUAAAUGCUUUCUACAGCUUAAAGUAUUAAAACAGGACAAGUUGUUGUUUGUUUUAAACAGUUAGUUGAAAUCAAGGCUAAAGUUGAGGUCAGCAGUUCAAUGAUAUUGAGGGCCAACUGUAUGUUUUCUUACCUUCCUUAGCUAACUUAUACGCAACUGGAAUAUCUAUUUAAAAUGCACUGUAUCCUUUGUAAAUGCUGUGAGGAGAGGCAGCUGGAGUAGUUCUUACCUUGAUUUAGAGAGCUGGCAGUAAUCACAGAAAUCUCGCGCACAAGGCUCUGCCGUUUGACUUGUAAUGUGAAUGAAGGGAGGAUGUUCUUCAGUGCCUAGGGAUUAUUCCAGAGAUGUGGCCUCGUGUGAGAAAAGUUUAGAGGUGGAGAGAGAAGACUCUCAGAGGGGACAAGGCAACGGCAGCAAUGACUUACUUACUGGAUUAAGGUGGGCCCAGGUGGCACCAGUUGAUGACAGGUUAGAAGAGCAAACAAGUCUCAUAGGAGAUUUGAGUACAGGGCGUCUAGAAUUCACAACUGAGAUGACAUAGCCUAACAAUCCACUGGAAGACAGAAGACAGAGUGUCAGUAAUCAGACAUGGAGAGCAUGUUUAGGGUAAGGGGCACUUUUCGUAUCCUAGAUAGAGUGUGAUCAGAGCCAGUCAAGGAGAGCAGUGAAAGGGUAUACAUUAGUUAAGGUCAAUCUAGGGAAUUUUCUAGAUUUUAUACCCAGGUAUAUAGAAGAUAAUAUCUUUUUUUAAAAAAUGUGAAUCUUUAGCAAAAGAUUGGGCCAUUGGAUGUGACAUGGACUAUAGUUAUGCAUAAUGUAACUAGCAGAAUAAUUUAAACAUGAAAAUGGCAUGAUCCUUGUUAUGUAGAAUUUGAGGUGCUAACAGAACAGAACAGCCAUUCUGAAAAAGGAGGUUUUAACCAAGUUAAAACUUAUCUACUUAGUUCAGUAGCCUAGGCUAUGAGAAAGUGGAUAUCUUGAAUGUAU
This 2466-nucleotide long non-coding RNA is filed under the name Mus musculus (house mouse). RNAcentral describes it as "long non-coding RNA chr16:43530548-43533014". Lineage: Eukaryota; Metazoa; Chordata; Mammalia; Rodentia; Muridae. The record is from RNAcentral.